Molecule: unclassified non-coding RNA, 163 nt
Filed under: Alternaria centaureae
Lineage: Eukaryota; Fungi; Ascomycota; Dothideomycetes; Pleosporales; Pleosporaceae
Description: partial internal transcribed spacer 2
Source: RNAcentral
GUACCCUCAAGCUUUGCUUGGUGUUGGGCGUCUUUUUGUCUCCCCUUGCGGGAGACUCGCCUUAAAGUCAUUGGCAGCCGGCCUACUGGUUUCGGAGCGCAGCACAAGUCGCGCUCUCUUCCAGCCCCAAGGUCUAGCAUCCACCAAGCCUUUUUUUUUCAAC